CCGCGGUAAACCAGCUCUUCAGUGGUCGGGAUAAUUAUUGGGCUUAAAGUGUCCGUAGCCGGUUUAGUAAGUUCCUGGUAAAACCGGGCAGCUUAACUGUCCGUAUGCUAGGAAUACUGCUAUGCUAGAGGGCGGGAGAGGUCUGAGGUACUACAGGGGUAGGGGUGAAAUCUUAUAAUCCUUGUAGGACCACCAGUGGCGAAAGCGUCAGACUGGAACGCGCCUGACGGUGAGGGACGAAAGCCAGGGGAGCGAACCGGAUUAGAUACCCGGGUAGUCCUGGCCGUAAACGAUGCAUACUAGGCAAUGGUGCGGCCAUGAGCCGCAUCAGUACCGUAGGGAAACCGUUAAGUGUGCCGCCUGGGAAGUACGGUCGCAAGGCUAAAACUUAAAGGAAUUGGCGGGGGAGCACCACAAGGGGUGAAGCCUGCGGUUCAAUUGGACUCAACGCCGGGAAACUUACCAGGGGAGACAGCAGAAUGACAGUCAGGUUGACGACCUUACUCGACGAGCUGAGAGGAGGUGCAUGGCCGUCGCCAGUUCGUGCUGUGAGGUAUCCUGUUAAGUCAGGCAACGAACGAGAUCCGCGCCUUUAUUUGCCAUCAAGAAGUCACGACUUCGUUGGGAACACUAAAGGGACCGCCGUCGAUAAGACGGAGGAAGGAGCGGGCAAAGGCAGGUCAGUAUGCCCCGAAACCCCUGGGCUACACGCGGGCUGC
Molecule: ribosomal RNA, 719 nt
Filed under: uncultured archaeon
Lineage: Archaea
Description: bacterial SSU rRNA
Rfam family: Archaeal small subunit ribosomal RNA
Source: RNAcentral